RNAcentral lists this ribosomal RNA (499 nucleotides) under uncultured bacterium. RNAcentral's name for it is "partial 16S ribosomal RNA". It matches the Rfam family "Bacterial small subunit ribosomal RNA", at positions 30 to 523 of the family's 1533-position model. The record is from RNAcentral.
AUUGAACGCUGGCGGCAUGCCUUACACAUGCAAGUCGAACGGCAGCGGGGACUUCGGUCCGCCGGCGAGUGGCGAACGGGUGAGUAAUGUAUCGGAACGUACCAUUGAGUGGGGGAUAACGUAGCGAAAGUUACGCUAAUACCGCAUAUUCUCUCCGGAGGAAAGCAGGGGACCGCAAGGCCUUGCGCUCUUUGAGCGGCCGAUAUCAGAUUAGCUAGUUGGUGAGGUAAAGGCUCACCAAGGCGACGAUCUGUAGCGGGUCUGAGAGGAUGAUCCGCCACACUGGAACUGGGACACGGUCCAGACUCCUACGGGAGGCAGCAGUGGGGAAUUUUGGACAAUGGGGGCAACCCUGAUCCAGCCAUGCCGCGUGAGUGAAGAAGGCCUUCGGGUUGUAAAGCUCUUUCGGCCGGGAAAAAUCGCAUGGGCUAAUACCCUGUGUGGAUGAUGGUACCGGAAUAAGAAGCACCGGCUAACUACGUGCCAGCCGCCGCCGUAA